AGCGUACACGGUGGAUGCCCUGGCAGUCAGAGGCGAUGAAGGACGUGCUAAUCUGCGAUAAGCGUCGGUAAGGUGAUAUGAACCGUUAUAACCGGCGAUUUCCGAAUGGGGAAACCCAGUGUGAUUCGUCACACUAUCAUUAACUGAAUCCAUAGGUUAAUGAGGCGAACCGGGGGAACUGAAACAUCUAAGUACCCCGAGGAAAAGAAAUCAACCGAGAUUCCCCCAGUAGCGGCGAGCGAACGGGGAGCAGCCCAGAGCCUGAAUCAGUGUGUGUGUUAGUGGAAGCGUCUGGAAAGGCGCGCGAUACAGGGUGACAGCCCCGUACACAAAAAUGCACAUACUGUGAGCUCGAUGAGUAGGGCGGGACACGUGGUAUCCUGUCUGAAUAUGGGGGGACCAUCCUCCAAGGCUAAAUACUCCUGACUGACCGAUAGUGAACCAGUACCGUGAGGGAAAGGCGAAAAGAACCCCGGCGAGGGGAGUGAAAAAGAACCUGAAACCGUGUACGUACAAGCAGUGGGAGCCUCUUAAUGGGGUGACUGCGUACCUUUUGUAUAAUGGGUCAGCGACUUAUAUUCUGUAGCAAGGUUAACCGAAUAGGGGAGCCGAAGGGAAACCGAGUCUUAACUGGGCGUUAAGUUGCAGGGUAUAGACCCGAAACCCGGUGAUCUAGCCAUGGGCAGGUUGAAGGUUGGGUAACACUAACUGGAGGACCGAACCGACUAAUGUUGAAAAAUUAGCGGAUGACUUGUGGCUGGGGGUGAAAGGCCAAUCAAACCGGGAGAUAGCUGGUUCUCCCCGAAAGCUAUUUAGGUAGCGCCUCGUGAAUUCAUCUCCGGGGGUAGAGCACUGUUUCGGCAAGGGGGUCAUCCCGACUUACCAACCCGAUGCAAACUGCGAAUACCGGAGAAUGUUAUCACGGGAGACACACGGCGGGUGCUAACGUCCGUCGUGAAGAGGGAAACAACCCAGACCGCCAGCUAAGGUCCCAAAGUCAUGGUUAAGUGGGAAACGAUGUGGGAAGGCCCAGACAGCCAGGAUGUUGGCUUAGAAGCAGCCAUCAUUUAAAGAAAGCGUAAUAGCUCACUGGUCGAGUCGGCCUGCGCGGAAGAUGUAACGGGGCUAAACCAUGCACCGAAGCUGCGGCAGCGACGCUUAUGCGUUGUUGGGUAGGGGAGCGUUCUGUAAGCCUGUGAAGGUGUACUGUGAGGUAUGCUGGAGGUAUCAGAAGUGCGAAUGCUGACAUAAGUAACGAUAAAGCGGGUGAAAAGCCCGCUCGCCGGAAGACCAAGGGUUCCUGUCCAACGUUAAUCGGGGCAGGGUGAGUCGACCCCUAAGGCGAGGCCGAAAGGCGUAGUCGAUGGGAAACAGGUUAAUAUUCCUGUACUUGGUGUUACUGCGAAGGGGGGACGGAGAAGGCUAUGUUGGCCGGGCGACGGUUGUCCCGGUUUAAGCGUGUAGGCUGGUUUUCCAGGCAAAUCCGGAAAAUCAAGGCUGAGGCGUGAUGACGAGGCACUACGGUGCUGAAGCAACAAAUGCCCUGCUUCCAGGAAAAGCCUCUAAGCAUCAGGUAACAUCAAAUCGUACCCCAAACCGACACAGGUGGUCAGGUAGAGAAUACCAAGGCGCUUGAGAGAACUCGGGUGAAGGAACUAGGCAAAAUGGUGCCGUAACUUCGGGAGAAGGCACGCUGAUAUGUAGGUGAAGCGACUUGCUCGUGGAGCUGAAAUCAGUCGAAGAUACCAGCUGGCUGCAACUGUUUAUUAAAAACACAGCACUGUGCAAACACGAAAGUGGACGUAUACGGUGUGACGCCUGCCCGGUGCCGGAAGGUUAAUUGAUGGGGUUAGCGGUAACGCGAAGCUCUUGAUCGAAGCCCCGGUAAACGGCGGCCGUAACUAUAACGGUCCUAAGGUAGCGAAAUUCCUUGUCGGGUAAGUUCCGACCUGCACGAAUGGCGUAAUGAUGGCCAGGCUGUCUCCACCCGAGACUCAGUGAAAUUGAACUCGCUGUGAAGAUGCAGUGUACCCGCGGCAAGACGGAAAGACCCCGUGAACCUUUACUAUAGCUUGACACUGAACAUUGAGCCUUGAUGUGUAGGAUAGGUGGGAGGCUUUGAAGUGUGGACGCCAGUCUGCAUGGAGCCGACCUUGAAAUACCACCCUUUAAUGUUUGAUGUUCUAACGUUGACCCGUAAUCCGGGUUGCGGACAGUGUCUGGUGGGUAGUUUGACUGGGGCGGUCUCCUCCUAAAGAGUAACGGAGGAGCACGAAGGUUGGCUAAUCCUGGUCGGACAUCAGGAGGUUAGUGCAAUGGCAUAAGCCAGCUUGACUGCGAGCGUGACGGCGCGAGCAGGUGCGAAAGCAGGUCAUAGUGAUCCGGUGGUUCUGAAUGGAAGGGCCAUCGCUCAACGGAUAAAAGGUACUCCGGGGAUAACAGGCUGAUACCGCCCAAGAGUUCAUAUCGACGGCGGUGUUUGGCA
Molecule: ribosomal RNA, 2485 nt
Filed under: human gut metagenome
Description: bacterial LSU rRNA
Rfam family: Bacterial large subunit ribosomal RNA
Source: RNAcentral